AAGGCUUGACAUGGGGAAGACUGGACGAGAGAUCGUCCUUCUCUAGCAAUAGAGCUUCCCACACAGGUGCUGCAUGGCUGUCGUCAGCUCGUGUCGUGAGAUGUUGGGUUAAGUCCCGCAACGAGCGCAACCCCCGUUUCUAGUUGCCAUCAUUCAGUUGGGCCCUCUAGAGAGACUGCCGCGAAUAACGCGGAGGAAGGUGGGGACACGUCAAGUCAUCAUGG
RNAcentral lists this ribosomal RNA (224 nucleotides) under uncultured bacterium. Its description in RNAcentral is "partial 16S ribosomal RNA". It matches the Rfam family "Bacterial small subunit ribosomal RNA", at positions 978 to 1198 of the family's 1533-position model. The record is from RNAcentral.